RNAcentral lists this ribosomal RNA (253 nucleotides) under uncultured bacterium. Its description in RNAcentral is "partial 16S ribosomal RNA". It matches the Rfam family "Bacterial small subunit ribosomal RNA", at positions 524 to 776 of the family's 1533-position model. The record is from RNAcentral.
UACGGAGGGUGCAAGCGUUAUCCGGAUUUACUGGGUUUAAAGGGUGCGUAGGUGGGUCUGUAAGUCAGUGGUGAAAUCUCCGGGCUUAACUCGGAAAUUGCCAUUGAUACUAUAGGUCUUGAAUCAUCUGGAGGUAAGUGGAAUAUGUCAUGUAGCGGUGAAAUGCUUAGAUAUGACAUAGAACACCAAUUGCGAAGGCAGCUUACUACGGAUGUAUUGACACUGAGGCACGAAAGCGUGGGGAUCAAACAGG